GAGACCCUAUAUUUACAUAAGACUUUAUAAAAAAUUAUUAUCUUAUUAUUUAUUGGUUUGUGUUAUAUUUUGAACCUCUCCAAAUAGGUACCGGAAAAAAUAUUAAUUUAUAAUAUUUAUUAAUUUAUCAAGUAUUAAUUUAUAGAGUUUCUACUGUGUUUAGUUGUGCCUUAUGUUUAAAUCAUAAAUUUGUUUUAAGAUUUAGUAUAAAAAAAAACUAAUGAUUGAACUAUACAUGGAUUAGUGAAAAGACUAGAGAAACAUAAAAAAAAAAUACAGAGCGAGAGGAAAAAAAGAAAGAAAAGAUCUUCACCUUCUCCGGUCGACGACAUCAUGUCGUUCUUUUAGCUCCUUUUCUUCUUCUAGAUGGUACCUUAAAUAUCUCAGAUCUAAAGCGAGAGUAUCAAAUCGGAUUAUGUCGGCUCAGAUCUUAUCAGAUCUGGUGGUCUGUGGUGGUUGUCUGUCCCGUCCCGCAGCGGGCUCGUUUUUUCGCGGGUCACGACGGAUCAGGCCCGUACGGGCUGCGGUCUCCAAAAGAACGGUCCAAUCCCGCCUUGCCAAAGUGCACAGUCCCUUACAGACCGUUCCGAGGGCUGGACACCAAAGGAGUGCAUCAUGACACUUAUUGACGCUGCAGGCUGCUCCAGGACGCUUCAGGAUGAUCCACUACAUACCGAAAUGCACAUAAUGAAGAUACAUGAAGCAUCUACUAUUCAAGCUCAACAAAAUUUGUUAUAUAUUGUUCUUGUUCUUGAAGUCUAUUUUCUUGAAGUUCUUGAAGUCUAUUUUUUCUAUUACAAGUGCAUGAAUAAGAUGAGAUGAUUAUGUAUA
This is a long non-coding RNA of Brassica napus (rape), 831 nucleotides long. RefSeq lists it as uncharacterized. The transcript is spliced from 2 exons. The record is from RefSeq and is a predicted model, not a curated record. NCBI's taxonomy places the organism in Eukaryota, Viridiplantae, Streptophyta, Magnoliopsida, Brassicales, Brassicaceae.